AAGGAUAGUCUUUUGGGGGUGGGGUGACAUAUAUUCACCUCUAUUUAAAUGUUUGUUUAUGAGUGGGAGGGGUCAAUGAACCUCAGGUAAAGUUGUCCUG
RNAcentral lists this microRNA precursor (100 nucleotides) under Mus caroli (Ryukyu mouse). RNAcentral describes it as "microRNA 6398 (MGP_CAROLIEiJ_G0007894.1)". The record is from RNAcentral. Lineage: Eukaryota; Metazoa; Chordata; Mammalia; Rodentia; Muridae.